CUAUUUUUUUGCUAGCACCACAGACCUUCAAGAUUCAUAAACUAUGAAUGCAAACAACAGAUCAUUAAAAGUAUACUUUGUGCUAGUGAUUUCUUCUCAUCACUUCAACAGAGAAAAAGAACAUUCUAGAAUCCUAACAAUGGUGACAAGGGGUGUGGACACAGCGUUGUUAGGAGGGGGAGACACCAGAGCACCAACUUCUCUCACUUAAACCUUAUGACAACCUUAAGAAGUAGGCAGCAUGAUCCCCUUCUUGGAAAUGCAGAAAGAGAGAAUGGGGGAGAUUGAGAGGCUUGCAGAAUGUGACAUCAUUAGGGAGAACAGUGGUUGAGGUCCAGCAGCUCCUGCAGAUGGGUGGUGGUGGAAGGAGGAGAGAAUGGGCCACAGGCAGGCCAAGGGCAAGCUUAGCAGCACUCAACAUCCUCCAUGAACUCAACAGAAGUCAAGAAUGCAGGCAGCUCAUGAUGAAGACCUGCAGCGGCCCAGGUUUACCAAGCUCAUUCACAAUUGCAGUUGGAGAAUUCGUCUUUGGUCAUUUUCUACUUUGGAAAUACGCUGGUAUGUGGCAACGACCUGACUUCAACCAGGAAGACAAGGUUGAUGACCUAAGGAAUAGCACUGUAGCAAAUGGAAGGAUCCCUGAGUGACUGUGUGGAGCAGAGCCCUCCUACCAGCCUGGACUAGCCAACAUAAGAUUAAGAUAUUUUUUACAUAAAGCAUACUGCAUGGGUGUCCUACUGGUGAUGGAAAAAGAAAUGAAAGCAUCUCUCAAAAGGGUCAAACCAAGGCCAGGUUUUAUUUGGUGUUUGAGAAAACCUGGAUUAUUUGGGUCAGGAGAAAAUUUUGGACUUCCUGCUAAUCACAGGAUUUCAACAGCAAGCGUCUUCAAAUCAUGUGUGACAUCCCCUGGCUGAUAAGAGCCUUCCCACCUCAUCUCAAGGAAGGCAACACCUUUCAUAACUACUAGAAUGACUACACUUGCCUCACUAAAUUGUAGUUGUUGAACCACAAACUUGAUUCCUACUUCUGUAAAAAUAAAUCAGAAUUAAAAUGAUUAAGAUAUGGAAUUGAGCCUCCAUGAGGUUUCAGCAGGCAUCCAUAACCUACAGGGUUAUGACAGUCAUAUUUUCUGAAUCCCAAAUCAGGACAUGGGACCAUGGAAAUAGAGAAGACCAUCAAGCAGAACGUUUGACUUCAGUUCUGUCGUGAAGAUUCUGGGUUUUCAAUCCUUCUAACUACAGUACUAGAUGACAAAGAUGAUUUAUUGCACAUUAAGCACUCAUGAGUGCUCUAUUAACCUCAUUCCUUGGAAUGAUUGUUUUAAAACAACUUUCCAUUUUUGCUAUUAAAAUACCUACUACUUGGGAGACUGAGGCAGGAGAAUCACUUG
This 1390-nucleotide long non-coding RNA is filed under the name Homo sapiens (human). RNAcentral's name for it is "HSALNT0345481". Lineage: Eukaryota; Metazoa; Chordata; Mammalia; Primates; Hominidae. The record is from RNAcentral.